GAUGAACGCUGGCGGCGUGCCUAAUACAUGCCAGUCGAGCGAACAGAUGAGGAGCUUGCUCCUCUGACGUUAGCGGCGGACGGGUGAGUAACACGUGGAUAACCUACCUAUAAGACUGGGAUAACUUCGGGAAACCGGAGCUAAUACCGGAUAAUAUAUUGAACCGCAUGGUUCAAUAGUGAAAGACGGUUUUGCUGUCACUUAUAGAUGGAUCCGCGCCGCAUUAGCUAGUUGGUAAGGUAACGGCUUACCAAGGCAACGAUGCGUAGCCGACCUGAGGGGGUGAUCGGCCACACUGGAACUGAGACACGGUCCAGACUCCUACGGGAGGCAGCAGUAGGGAAUCUUCCGCAAUGGGCGAAAGCCUGACGGAGCAACGCCGCGUGAGUGAUGAAGGUCUUCGGAUCGUAAAACUCUGUUAUUAGGGAAGAACAAAUGUGUAAGUAACUAUGCACGUCUUGACGGUACCUAAUCAGAAAGCCACGGCUAACUACGUG
RNAcentral lists this ribosomal RNA (497 nucleotides) under uncultured bacterium. RNAcentral describes it as "partial 16S ribosomal RNA". It matches the Rfam family "Bacterial small subunit ribosomal RNA", at positions 28 to 507 of the family's 1533-position model. The record is from RNAcentral.